GGCCUGGCUGGCCGGUCCGCCUCACCGCGUGUACUGGUCUGGCCGGGCCUUUCCUUCUGGAGAACUGCAUGCCCUUUACUGGGUGUGCCAGGGAACCAGGACUUUUACUUUGAAAAAAUUAGAGUGUUCAAAGCAGGCCUUUGCUCGAAUACAUUAGCAUGGAAUAAUAGAAUAGGACGUGUGGUCCUAUUUUGUUGGUUUCUAGGACCGCCGUA
Molecule: ribosomal RNA, 215 nt
Filed under: uncultured Glomeromycotina
Lineage: Eukaryota; Fungi; Glomeromycota
Description: partial small subunit ribosomal RNA
Rfam family: Eukaryotic small subunit ribosomal RNA (bases 90-215)
Source: RNAcentral